GAGUUUGAUCUUGGCUCAGAUUGAACGCUGGCGGCAUGCCUUACACAUGCAAGUCGAACGGCAGCAUGAUCUAGCUUGCUAGAUUGAUGGCGAGUGGCGAACGGGUGAGUAAUACAUCGGAACGUGCCCUGUAGUGGGGGAUAACUAGUCGAAAGAUUAGCUAAUACCGCAUACGACCUGAGGGUGAAAGUGGGGGACCGCAAGGCCUCAUGCUAUAGGAGCGGCCGAUGUCUGAUUAGCUAGUUGGUGGGGUAAAGGCCCACCAGGGCGACGAUCAGUAGCUGGUCUGAGAGGACGAUCAGCCACACUGGGACUGAGACACGGCCCAGACUCCUACGGGAGGCAGCAGUGGGGAAUUUUGGACAAUGGGGGCAACCCUGAUCCAGCAAUGCCGCGUGUGUGAAGAAGGCCUCGGUUGUAAG
This 422-nucleotide ribosomal RNA is filed under the name uncultured microorganism. RNAcentral's name for it is "bacterial SSU rRNA". It matches the Rfam family "Bacterial small subunit ribosomal RNA", at positions 9 to 429 of the family's 1533-position model. The record is from RNAcentral.